This 468-nucleotide ribosomal RNA is filed under the name uncultured bacterium. RNAcentral's name for it is "partial 16S ribosomal RNA". It matches the Rfam family "Bacterial small subunit ribosomal RNA", at positions 28 to 507 of the family's 1533-position model. The record is from RNAcentral.
GACGAACGCUGGCGGCGUGCUUAACACAUGCAAGUCGAACGGAAAGGCCCUGCUUUUGUGGGGUGCUCGAGUGGCGAACGGGUGAGUAACACGUGAGUAACCUGCCCUUGACUUUGGGAUAACUUCAGGAAACUGGGGCUAAUACCGGAUAGGAGCACCUGCUGCAUGGUGGGGGUUGGAAAGUUUCGGCGGUUGGGGAUGGACUCGCGGCUUAUCAGCUCGUUGGUGGGGUAGUGGCUUACCAAGGCUUUGACGGGUAGCCGGCCUGAGAGGGUGACCGGCCACAAUGGGACUGAGAUACGGCCCAGACUCCUACGGGAGGCAGCAGUGGGGAAUAUUGCACAAUGGGCGGAAGCCUGAUGCAGCAACGCCGCGUGCGGGAUGACGGCCUUCGGGUUGUAAACCGCUUUCGCCUGUGACGAAGCGUGAGUGACGGUAAUGGGUAAAGAAGCACCGGCUAACUACGUG